CAUUUUGGAAUUCCUCCUGUACACGAGGGAGAAAUUGAAGACAUGUCCUGGAAAAGGAGGGCAUCUGGGAGGCAUCUGCCCUCGCUGGAAUCAGGAAGGGGCGCAGCUUGCGUAUCAGCCAAAGCUGAUAACAGGUGCUCCUGACCAUCGCAUCCACCUGAGCUGUCAUUUGAAGUGACGAGUCGAGGAGCAUCCCCAAACUGUGGACAGAGUCCUUCAGGGGAAGUGGGACCCCGUCCAGAACAGGCUGACAUAUCUCCAUUCCUGGAUUUGGGGUCACUAUAACAAGUACCUCCAUGUUGUGUGUGUGUGUAUAGUGUUUAGCAUAUUUUAUUCAAAGCACAAAAGCAACACAUUAAGUGCCACAUUUUUUCCAAAAAAGUUUUUCAAAGGGGCUCAUCUUACAAUCUAAUUGCAAGAAGAAAAGAAAUUCUUAUGAACCACAUGAUGACAAAUUUAAUCCGUGUUCUGCUAACAAUAAAAUAUGUUGGUGUUUUCUAGUCUUCUUUUGAGAAAAACCUUCACAGAACCAAUUACAUAUACCUAAAAAAUUACAAAGUAAAACCUUAGAAUAUUCAAUACAGAAAUAAUUAAAAUUAACAUAACAUUGAAAGUAGCAGGCCUCUAAAAACAAAGUAAGACAUGGAUGCUAAAGUAUCAUCAGGUGACAACCCUAAUAGCUGCAGUGGAGGAAUUUCUAGCUAGCAGACAAAAUCUCUGUCAAGAGAAAUCCACUUUUUUUCCCCUUUCCUUUUCUCUCUCUCUCCAAAUAUCCCAGCUGUUCUACAUAUACUAAAGGUGUGAAUAAUGUAGCCCUCCAGACCUUGU
Sceloporus undulatus (fence lizard) is the source of this 828-nucleotide long non-coding RNA. RefSeq lists it as uncharacterized. The record is from RefSeq and is a predicted model, not a curated record. Lineage: Eukaryota; Metazoa; Chordata; Lepidosauria; Squamata; Phrynosomatidae. The transcript is spliced from 2 exons.